CGGAGCAGCUGCGCCACCGCCGCGGUUUCCAUGACGACCUGACCGCGCCCCCAACUGCAGAUCCGCUGCCGGGGCGAUUUCCAGGACGCAGGACCCUGCAGACCUCAGCAUCCUUGGCAUCUCACUGGCGCCCACAACCGGCUCUGGAAUUGAGGAUUUUCGUUCAGGACAGGUGAAGAGAUAACAUCUAGAAUGAUCAGCUGUACUGGGAAAAAUCUAAUACUGUGUGUUCUUGUACAUGUGAAGAUGUGGAGUCAAGGACCUGUGGAAAAAUUCUCUUGCAAGAAUGUGCCUCAAGAUAUGGAGAGAGAAAAUGAGGUAGCCAGGCCAUGUACUGUGUGAAUAAUUAAUAUCCUGGUCUUGUUGCUAUUUACUUUUGAAUAAUUCCAGUGCUUUAAAAAGGGAGGAGUCUUGCUUAAGGAGGAAGUUCACUUGAUAAUUGGAUGGGCAUGGAGCAUGGUGCAUGGGAGAGUCUGAGGUCCUCAACAGUGGUUGCUCCUGAAGCCAGGAUCCACAAAAGAAAUGCUCAUUUCUCACAGCGGCUACUAGUGCCUGAUGAAAUAUGAUUUGCAUAUUUUUUCCUUCUUUUUCACAAAGAGCUUGUAGUGGUCACACAAGUGUGUCAUCACUUUUACAGACUUGCAAGUGACAAAAAACCUCUAUAAGCAGCAAGAAUGGUAUUUGAAAUGAAUGCACCUUAAUUGGGGAGAAAAUUCUAUAAGACAUUAGACUUGUUUUCUAAACCCACAUUCAUCUGGAACUGUCUCACUCCUGAUCCCCACUUCCUACAUAAAAAUGAGUUAUGUGCAUUUGUCAUCUGUAGCCAAUCAGAAAAUUCCCUCAGGACAAUGACUCUGUUCUCAAAAGUGUGGUCCUCAAAUCUGCAGUAUCAGCCUAACCUGGGAAAUUGUUGGAAAUGCAAGACCUGAAUGGGAAACUCUGGGGUGGGACCUGGCAAUCUAAGUGUUAAUGAACCAUUCAGGUGAUUCUGAUGAGUGCCACUCUGUGCAGAAAAUGAAUUAUUGGCAAGUGGCCAGAAAGGUCCUCCCAGAGGGACCAUUCUCUAAUUACUAACAGUUCAUUUUAAAAGUUAAGAUUUAGUAUUUCUCAUAGGAUAAACAGUUUUAAAUUUUUCAGCAAUAUCCUUUAAAAAUAAAAUGAAGAUGUUUUCCCACAAGUUUAAUAUUUCAAUGAUUUUGAUUAGUAUAAAUGCCUUGUCUACUUUUUAAAUUCUCAUAAUUCAAGCAUAGAUAAUGAAUGCUUUGGAAUAGUAUAACAAAUUGGCUAAUAACAGUGAUUUAAUAAAAGUUAGGCUCUAGGGGUUGGGGAUAUAACUCUGUUGGUAGAGUGCUUGCCUCACAAGCACAAGGCCCUGGGUUCAAUUCUCAGCACUGCAAAAAAAAAAAAAAAAAAAAAAAAAAGCAAACAGACAAAAAUGUUAAACUAUCAAACAGUGGGAAGAAAAACCUAAACUAUGUUCAUAUCUAAAAUCUCCAAUUGCCUUAGUUAAUCCAUGCCUAGUUUAUAUACUUUCUUAUAGGAAGAAUUAGAAACAUACAAGGUGUUUUAUCUAGAAAUACUAGAAAAUUAAAAAAAAAGAUAUAGUCUCUCUAAUACCCCACUAAAUUUCCUUUGCAGUUUAUCAUUGCACCAUCCACAACUUUUUAUAACUAUGGGUUAAUUAGCAUUCUAUAUAAGUGGAAGUAUAACAGUAUAUACUCUUUUAUCUGACUUCUUUUCACUCAACAUGAUUUUUUUCCACAUUUUUAUGGGUGUAUUAUAGUUGUACAAUAAUGAUGGGAUUUGUUGUAACAUAUUCAUACAUACACACAAUAUAAUAAUACAAAUUGACCAAUAAUGCUCCCUAGCAUCUCCCCGCUCCCACUCUUUGGUCCCUUCUCUCUACUGAUCUCCCUUUGAUUUUCAUCAGACCCACCCCCAUCUUUCUUUUCCUUUUUCCUCUCUAGCUUCCACAUAUGAGAGAAUAUAUAUGACCA
This is a long non-coding RNA of Sciurus carolinensis (gray squirrel), 1997 nucleotides long. RefSeq lists it as uncharacterized. NCBI's taxonomy places the organism in Eukaryota, Metazoa, Chordata, Mammalia, Rodentia, Sciuridae. The record is from RefSeq and is a predicted model, not a curated record. The transcript is spliced from 4 exons.